ACGCAUGUUCCGUACUUCCUUACUUCUCAUAGUGAUUGUGAUACUUAUGGAAUGUAAAGAAGUAUGGAGCUUUCGU
RNAcentral lists this microRNA precursor (76 nucleotides) under Trialeurodes vaporariorum (greenhouse whitefly). RNAcentral's name for it is "mir-1 microRNA precursor family". It matches the Rfam family "mir-1 microRNA precursor family". From Rfam's summary of the family: This family represents the microRNA (miRNA) mir-1 family. miRNAs are transcribed as ~70nt precursors (modelled here) and subsequently processed by the Dicer enzyme to give a ~22nt product. In this case the mature sequence comes from the 3' arm of the precursor. The extents of the hairpin precursors are not generally known and are estimated based on hairpin prediction. The record is from RNAcentral. Lineage: Eukaryota; Metazoa; Arthropoda; Insecta; Hemiptera; Aleyrodidae.